GCUGAAAGCAUCUAAGCGGGAAACUUGCCUCAAGAUGAGAUCUCACUGGAGCCUUGAGCUCCCUGAAGGGCCGUCGAAGACUACGACGUUGAUAGGUUGGGUGUGUAAGCGCUGUGAGGCGUUGAGCUAACCAAUACUAAUUGCCCGUGAGGCUUGACCAUAUAACACCCAAACAAUU
RNAcentral lists this ribosomal RNA (178 nucleotides) under Stutzerimonas stutzeri. Its description in RNAcentral is "Pseudomonas stutzeri partial 23S ribosomal RNA". It matches the Rfam family "Bacterial large subunit ribosomal RNA", at positions 2770 to 2925 of the family's 2925-position model. The record is from RNAcentral. Lineage: Bacteria; Pseudomonadati; Pseudomonadota; Gammaproteobacteria; Pseudomonadales; Pseudomonadaceae.